GACGAACGCUGGCGGCGCGCUUAACACAUGCAAGUCGAGCGGUAAGGCUCCUUCGGGAGUACACGAGCGGCGAACGGGUGCGUAACACGUGAGUAAUCUGCCCUUCACUUCGGGAUAACCACCGGAAACGGUGGCUAAUACCGAAUACGACCAGUCUUCGCAUGAGGUGCUGGUGGAAAGUCUUUUCGGUGAAGGAUGUGCUCGCGGCCUAUCAGCUUGUUGGUGGGGUAAUGGCCUACCAAGGCUUCGACGGGUAGCCGGCCUGAGAGGGUGACCGGCCACACUGGGACUGAGACACGGCCCAGACUCCUACGGGAGGCAGCAGUGGGGAAUAUUGGACAAUGGGCGAAAGCCUGAUCCAGCAACGCCGCGUGAGGGAUGACGGCCUUCGGGUUGUAAACCUCUUUCAGUACCGACGAAGCGCCCUGUCGGGUGGUGACGGUAGGUACAGAAGAAGGACCGGCCAACUACGUG
This 474-nucleotide ribosomal RNA is filed under the name uncultured bacterium. RNAcentral describes it as "partial 16S ribosomal RNA". It matches the Rfam family "Bacterial small subunit ribosomal RNA", at positions 28 to 507 of the family's 1533-position model. The record is from RNAcentral.